RNAcentral lists this ribosomal RNA (497 nucleotides) under uncultured bacterium. RNAcentral's name for it is "partial 16S ribosomal RNA". It matches the Rfam family "Bacterial small subunit ribosomal RNA", at positions 28 to 507 of the family's 1533-position model. The record is from RNAcentral.
GAUGAACGCUGGCGGCGUGCCUAAUACAUGCAAGUCGAGCGAACGGACGAGAAGCUUGCUUCUCUGAUGUUAGCGGCGGACGGGUGAGUAACACGUGGAUAACCUACCUAUAAGACUGGGAUAACUUCGGGAAACCGGAGCUAAUACCGGAUGAUAUUUUGAACCGCAUGGUUCAAAAGUGAAAGACGGUCUUGCUGUCACUUAUAGAUGGAUCCGCGCUGCAUUAGUUAGUUGGUAAGGUAACGGCUUACCAAGGCAACGAUGCAUAGCCGACCUGAGAGGGUGAUCGGCCACACUGGAACUGAGACACGGUCCAGACUCCUACGGGAGGCAGCAGUAGGGAAUCUUCCGCAAUGGGCGAAAGCCUGACGGAGCAACGCCGCGUGAGUGAUGAAGGUCUUCGGAUCGUAAAACUCUGUUAUUAGGGAAGAACAUAUGUGUAAGUAACUGUGCACAUCUUGACGGUACCUAAUCAGAAAGCCACGGCUAACUACGUG